This 87-nucleotide transfer RNA is filed under the name bacterium. RNAcentral's name for it is "tRNA-Leu". It matches the Rfam family "tRNA". Rfam says of the family: Transfer RNA (tRNA) molecules are approximately 80 nucleotides in length. Their secondary structure includes four short double-helical elements and three loops (D, anti-codon, and T loops). Further hydrogen bonds mediate the characteristic L-shaped molecular structure. tRNAs have two regions of fundamental functional importance: the anti-codon, which is responsible for specific mRNA codon recognition, and the 3' end, to which the tRNAs corresponding amino acid is attached (by aminoacyl-tRNA synthetases). tRNAs cope with the degeneracy of the genetic code in two manners: having more than one tRNA (with a specific anti-codon) for a particular amino acid; and 'wobble' base-pairing, i.e. permitting non-standard base-pairing at the 3rd anti-codon position. The record is from RNAcentral. RNAcentral also lists the same sequence under 2 other names.
GCGUGCGUGGCGGAAUUGGUAGACGCGCAUGAUUCAGGUUCAUGUGGGGGCAACCCCGUGGAGGUUCGAUUCCUCUCGCGCGCACCA